This 1246-nucleotide long non-coding RNA is filed under the name Strigops habroptila (Kakapo). RNAcentral describes it as "lncRNA (ENSSHBG00005005341.1)". The record is from RNAcentral. Lineage: Eukaryota; Metazoa; Chordata; Aves; Psittaciformes; Psittacidae.
UUUUUCUUUUUCCCUUUUUUUUUAAUCUCCUCGCACCCUCAAAAAUCAAAUUGUGUUCUAAACUUUGGUACACCUAAAGCUGUUGUUAGAAAAUUAGUGAACGUUCUUUAUUCCUCAGUGAUGUAUUUCAUCUUCAGGUCUGGCACACAUUUUGUUGUUUUCAGACUCAACUCCACAGGAUAUUCACAGGAUAACAAAGAGAACCUGAGUAAAGAGAAUUUAAGUCCGCAUGCCAUUGACUGCUUCAUGUUCAAGACUCAGACUUUAUUAUUUGUAAAUAUUUUUUUUAAUUUAUAACUGAUUCAUAUCAUACCUUCACAGAAAUACGUUUUAGCUGCGGACAUAUAGAAAAAUAGUUCCCCUCUCCUAUGGACUGCAAUUUUUAAACUAUCCCUCUGUUUUAAGGAAGGGUGAAACUGCAAAGAUACUAGAAGCAUAACAUCUGACAUCUGCCAUGACCACUUGGGAAAUCUCUCUAUGCAAAAGGCUGAGAGCACUGACUGAUUUUAAGGAAUCUUUCCAGAGAUUUUUGCUGGCAGAGUUUAUGUCACCUGGAAGUCAGGAGACUGGAGCAGAAACAUCAGGAGUCAAUACCCUGAUAAACAACCAAAGCAGAGUGCUGGUCAUGCAUAGGGCAGCUCUGAACUGCCAAACCGCUGCUGCUGGGGUGCACUGCUUUGCCUUCCUCGGUCCUAACUAUGGCAAUUGCCAUCUUAGGGGGAUUUCUUUUACCGUCAGAGGUUUGGUACAGAGCUGCAGUCAGGUCAGAGACCCCGCAUCUGUGUUGGCAUCAGCUCUGGUGGUGUAAUGAACCCCCAAAGGGAUUGCUGGCGACAGACAUCUCACAAUCUCUAGUGCAGAGCCUGUGCAAUAUGAACCGAAAACCAGCAGCCUCCUUUAAGCAUGGCUCAUUAAUUCCCUUCCGUAGUCCACACGUCAGUAGAGAGGGGCAGACUGCACCACUGUGUGAGUAUGGACCGGGCUGCACACCUUGCCUGGGCUUUUGAUUGACCUCAACAAGCAAUCCUAGGAAACAAAAUGGAAGUAAGUUGUCCACUGUCAGUCCCAAGAGCUCAAUUCCUUCCCCAUUUAGCAGUCCUCCUCCCUGCAGCAGGGUUUGGGUUCGUUUUCUAGACACCUACAUUACUUGCUAUCUAUUUGAAGCAUCAUAUCAUAACAAAUAGAUAAAAGAAUAAUAAAAAUCAGUGGGUAAUGAUCAAUCAAUGAAAUCAAGCAUAGUGGAACC